AGGACUAUCUGAAAGGGCUUUGACAGGAGCACCACUUUAGUGCCUGAGGCAUCUUUUGCUCUGUCUGACCAAUUUUUUAGCUCAAGAUUUUCUUCUCAGUUACGACAAAAAAAAAAAAAAAUGUCUAACCAAAGACUAUCUGUGCUUUCUCCCCUCCUGUACUUCUGCUUCUUCAGAGAGAGUUUCUCCAUUUGUGAUGGAACAACGUGGACCAAGGUCGGAUGGGAGAUUUUUCCAGAGGAAGUGCACUACCUGAAAGUUAAGGUUCCCCCAUCCAGCUGCCUGCCUUACCCCCUGAACAAACUCUGCUGCAACUCUGCUAACACGGACCUACUACAGAGUUCCUUACACCUCGCUUACAUCUUAGUUCAAGCUCUCUGCUUAAUCCUGUUUGCUUUAUCUGUGCAUUACCUAUGGAUGAAAUGGACAAGACACCAAAAAAAGCUGAAAAAGCAAGCCUCCUUAGAGAAACAUGCUAACAACCUAGACCUGAGCCCAUCCAUCCAUGACAUUGAACAAAUCCUCUGCAGACUACUGGCCACAACAUCAAUGAUGACCAAGUUCCUGAAGCAGAUGUCUCACCAUUCUUCUGUUAAGAAAGCUAAGCAACAACGUAAACUAAGGAAGAAGAAGAGUAAAGACGGAGAGGAACAGGAGAACGCUGCUAUCCCUAAGCUCGUGCAAAUGUAGCUUGGUCAAGUGCGGAGAGGACAAAAGAAAUCUAUUGCAGGGACUGUCUGAGGACACAAAGGUUUCUUUGAUGGCUUGCUCUUUUUUUUUGUCACAAUCAUUACAGAAAAUUUUUCAGACGAGCUCUGGGUUUCUGCUCAACUGAAAAAGAAUCCACUCUUACUAAUGUGGCUCCCAGAAUAAACUGAGAAGACCUUGACUGGAA
Molecule: long non-coding RNA, 895 nt
Filed under: Mus pahari (shrew mouse)
Lineage: Eukaryota; Metazoa; Chordata; Mammalia; Rodentia; Muridae
Description: lncRNA (MGP_PahariEiJ_G0003674.1)
Source: RNAcentral